AAGCUGUGUUUGAAUACUCAUACUAACCUCACUAUUUGUGAAGCAAAAUUGAGUAUAUUGUAUGCUUAUUGGUCAUAGUAUGGAUAUAGUUAACAUGCCAAAAGUUCCCCUAAAAUAAUUCACCAAAAUACAAAGUAUACACGCAGUGGACACUGUUUCCGUGUUUUUACGGCCCAUAAUGCCAUUCUUCAGGUAAUGGCUGUGGCUUGAUAAUUUUUAAGAUUGGAAGAAAAUGGUGGAAAACAUGCAGCCAAGUCCGAUGAGAGCGGAUACAAAUUCAUUGCUUGAACUAAUUAUGACAGAUGUUAAGAAAAUGUUAAGCAAUGUAAUAAGAUACCUAUUGUGAGAGUUGCUUGACUACAGCCCAAGAAAUUGAGAGCAGAAGAAAGACACAGCAGAGUCCAGACGGGAUGUUAUUGAGAAGCUAGUCAGUGGUGCUGUGUACCAAGAUUUAGAUGCUAAAAUCCCAACUGAACACAUUUUAAUGUAACUAUGUUCAACUGUACCAACUCUGUUUAUUAAAUCUCCAAAAUUCUCUUAGAAUAAAGAUAUUUCUCAAUAUCA
Molecule: long non-coding RNA, 564 nt
Organism: Oncorhynchus keta (chum salmon)
Lineage: Eukaryota; Metazoa; Chordata; Actinopteri; Salmoniformes; Salmonidae
Exons: 3
Source: RefSeq, a predicted model, not a curated record